GGGCCCGCACAAGCAGUGGAGCAUGUGGUUUAAUUCGAUGCAACGCGAAGAACCUUACCAGGCCUUGACAUCCUAGGAAUCCUGUAGAGAUACGGGAGUGCCUUCGGGAAUCUAGUGACAGGUGCUGCAUGGCUGUCGUCAGCUCGUGUCGUGAGAUGUUGGGUUAAGUCCCGUAACGAGCGCAACCCUUGUCCUUAGUUGCCAGCACAUUAUGGUGGGGACUCUAAGGAGACUGCCGGUGACAAGCCGGAGGAAGGCGGGGACGACGUCAAGUCAUCAUGGCCCUUACGGGUAGGGCUACACACGUGCUACAAUGGUCGGUACAGAGGGUUGCCAAGUCGCGAGGCGGAGCUAAUCUCAGAAAGCCGGUCAUAGUCCGGAUUGCAGUCUGCAACUCGACUGCAUGAAGUCGGAAUC
RNAcentral lists this ribosomal RNA (417 nucleotides) under uncultured bacterium. Its description in RNAcentral is "bacterial SSU rRNA". It matches the Rfam family "Bacterial small subunit ribosomal RNA", at positions 917 to 1333 of the family's 1533-position model. The record is from RNAcentral.